UUUUAAAUUCUAAUAACUACAAAUUAUAACACUGCUAUUCACAGUUAUGUUUGACUACACCCAUAUAGCAUUAGCCUUCAGGAGCAACUGUACCAGCUGACCCUUAAGAUGAAGGCUCAUUAUUUCAUUAGCACCACCAAUCAGCUUCUCUCCUAUGAAUACAGCUGGUACACUUGGCUUACACCCUAGUCCUCUUAAUUCCUUCUCUAACUGUUUCCCGUCUGGAUGUUCAUCUAACUCAUAAACUGUAGGAUUUGCACCAAAAUUGCUGAUCAGUGUCUUAAUGGUGUGGCACAUACAGCAAGAGCUUUUGCUAAAUAUAACCACAGGCCUUUCGUUCACCAAUGAUGUAACCAUAGCCAUAUCCGGAGUUGUAGAAGUUAAAUGUUGUAUGAGACAAUGCUAGCUUUUGUAAAAGAUAUAUGUAGAUAGUUUGGUGUUGUGGGAAGUUUUGUUGUGAGUGUAUAUAUGAUCCUUAGAUGUCUAUAUAUAGUGACAGGAUAGGAUUUGAAAUUGUUGGGGUGAUACCUUUUAGGUGCUGAAAGUGAGAUCAGAUUCUUUUUCUUUGACAGAUCAUGAUGAUCAUUAUCAAACUGAAUAAAUGAUACGGAAUUAAGGUAUGUGUAGCCAUUGGCGAAGCUUUGAAGGGGACGGGAGGGGCGCCUGACCCCCCGAACUUUUUGCACAGUAGUGUUAUAUAUGUAGUUUUCGUAUAGAAAUUUUUGGGUGUAUAUGUUUUCGACCCCCGAUGCUAUAGAAAUUUUUAGGUAUAUACGUUUUCCGACCCCCUGUCGAAAACGUCAAGCUUCGCCACUGUGUGUAGCAUAACGAGUUCCUGAUCUGUAGGUUGAUAUGCAUGGCACUAGCGUACAUUUGUGAUUAAUUAGUUACAUCAUUGACCUUGAUAGAUUCCUUUUUUAACUAUCGGAUUGUAGCUACUGAAAAUUAUCAGGUGUGGACGAUGGUUAUCAAAAGUCAAAGCAAAAGCGUGGAAAUAUGAAACGCAUGACAAAAGCAGAGGACAUCCGUACCAUUGCCCGAAUAGAGAAAGAAGUUGUGCUGUACAUUUGAGUACGAGCAAAUCUGGGUAUCAGGUUCUAUUCUGUGAUCUUCUUGAAGCCUUUUAGAAAGGAAUCUUAAUGGUCUGCCAAGUGGCAGAAGGAAGAUUUGCAUAACUGGCUCAAAACAAAGUGAAAGGUCAGUUAUGUUUUUUGCUUGACUACCAAGUGACUACUCCAGACCAUAAACUUAUGUUGACAUGUCUAUUAGAAGAUACAAUUUCCAAACUAUGAGUGAACAUCAACUCUGUUUGAGUACUGUGCACUAUGUUAUAUAGAGAUUGAAUUAGAGAUUACACUACAAGAAUGGAAGGCUUUUAGCGGCGACAGCUGUCGCCGCUAUUGAUAACCAAUGUCGCCGCUAUUCACUUUUAGCAGCGACAUGUCGCCGCUAAAGCCUCGCCGGUAUUGAUAGGUCGCUAUUGUCCUCUUUGUCGUCGCUAAAAGGUCGUCGGAAUUAUAGUUGGUCGGUAAGGCAAUGGACAAUAGCGGCGACAUGUGUCGCCGCUAAAAGUCUAUUUUUUUUAAGCAACACCUGUAUAUAGUUGCUCCCAGUCAGAUUUACGCCCGAAAAACAGAACCUGCCUAAUUUAAACAACGCAAACAUACACGCCAUGAACAUAUACUAAAGGUAAUAUAAUUACAAUCUACGUUUAAGUCCUACAAUGUUUAAUAAAAUCCUACAUUAAAAACAACAAGUCACUCAGUCGUAAUCAUCCUCAUCUUCUCUAUCCUUAAAGUUCUGCCAAAUACUUUUAGCGGAGACGACGUGUCGCCGCUAUUGCCCAUAUAUGGUUGCCGCUAAUACCUGUUAAAUCUCCAACCGUUAGAUCAGGAUUUUGAUCAACGGCUGGGGUUUGGUCUCAGGGAGGGUCUGUGACGCGGAUCAACCAAUAGCGGUGACAUUAGGCCUGUCGCCGCUAAUGGCGUCGCCGCUAAUGACCUUCCAUUCUUGUAGUGAUUAGAGACCUUUAUCACAACUUAAUGUAAGCAAACAUAUUUAUAUGUCCCACAUUUCACAUCUCUUUUAACAGGAAAGCAAGAUUGUUGGGUUAAUUGGGUUUUGUUCACGGGUCACUGGUUCAUGGAUACGGGUUUGUGGGUUUUACUUGAAUAAAUUAGCAACCAAACUAGAGUGGUUCAUGGAUACGGGUUUGUGGGUUUUACUUGAAUAAAUUAGCAACCAAACUAGAGUUUCAAGAGUUCACGUGAUCAAGUGCAUGGCUUGAAAAGAAUUUAUGGUUUUAUAUUUUGGAUUAAAUUAAUAGUUUAUGUAGAUGGACUUGGUAUUUGGUGUGACCUAUUUAGUUGGCGUACGUUGGUGAAGAGUGGGUCUCCAUGUUUACCGGUUCUUUAGGUAGACUAAGUAUUUUUUUUAUUGGCUUUAAUUCCCACGUUUGUUUAUUGUAAAGGUGUAACACCCCAAAAACGGGUUUAUUAAUUAUAAUAAAGUAACCGAAAAUAAACGGGUGAAAUACGGUAGUGAUAAAAAUAAACCCAGUAAAUAUUAGGAUCUAAAUAAGUAAGCCUAAUAUUAACUAAAAAGUGAAUCAAAGCUUUGGAGGAAAUAAAGCUUAUAAAAGACCCGAGGUAACGGGGUGUAUUUAACACCCCUAUAAUAUAAAUCCUUUUAUUAUAAAUUCGACGUUGGUAUUAACGAGAUAAACUAACUAGUGAUAAAACUAACCUAGUUAGAUAAGAGUUUAGUGAUAAUAAAUUAGAGUGUUAGAAACACCCAAAAUAAAAACCUCAUGAAAGUAGGAGGGUUAAAAGUGCCAAGUAUGAAACAAGUUUUAUUAAA
RNAcentral lists this long non-coding RNA (2859 nucleotides) under Helianthus annuus (common sunflower). Its description in RNAcentral is "hypothetical non coding rna". The record is from RNAcentral. Lineage: Eukaryota; Viridiplantae; Streptophyta; Magnoliopsida; Asterales; Asteraceae.